Molecule: long non-coding RNA, 407 nt
Organism: Melitaea cinxia (Glanville fritillary)
Lineage: Eukaryota; Metazoa; Arthropoda; Insecta; Lepidoptera; Nymphalidae
Exons: 2
Source: RefSeq, a predicted model, not a curated record
UUAUAUACUCCCGUGGUUUUUAAAUGCUCACUGCAGUGCGACCAGUCGAUUGGGGCCUUGUAUAUUUCGAUUAAUUAUUUCAAUGAAAGCUGUUGUGUACGGACUGGAUGCACAGACUUAUUAAGACUAAGGGCGCUUGUACACGCUAAGAAAAUUUGCCGCUCCUGCGGCAGACAAGACAAAUUCUUCGUGUAGACGACAAGAAUUUUGUCUGUUCCACACACGAAAACUUUUCGUGUCUUCCGCAGACAAGACCAAUGGAAACGUGUACACGACACGAUUCUUUUCGUGCAGUCGACAGUCGGGCUUAGGGCGCGCAAGUAAUAACAAGUGUAAUCAGUGAGUUUCGUUUAUUUAUAUAAAUGUUAACUACAAAGCAAAAAAGAAUGAUAAUUGCAUAUUAUUAU